This is a long non-coding RNA of Sceloporus undulatus (fence lizard), 666 nucleotides long. RefSeq lists it as uncharacterized. The transcript has 2 exons. Lineage: Eukaryota; Metazoa; Chordata; Lepidosauria; Squamata; Phrynosomatidae. The record is from RefSeq and is a predicted model, not a curated record.
AAUCAUUGUAAGCCGCUCUGAUAGCCUUUAGGGCUGAAGGGUGGGGUAUAAAUACCAUAAUAAUAAUAAUAAUAAACCUGUGUAAAAGGCUGCAGCCUUCCUUUACAAAAAAAAAGCCAUCUAGUCUUGAAUUGAUCAAAUUUUGCAAAUGGAUAAAAAAUAUUUGUGGCACAAGCAACAUACUUUGUAGGUUUUGCACAUGCGCAUCGCUGCAAGAAGGACCGGCGCUGCAUUUGACUGCUUUGGCAGUCUUCAGUCAUCUAGAAAUUUUUUCCACAUCCAUGGAGAUCCUGUGCCUCUAAUCUCAGCGAAUGUGGAAGGACGAGUGUACAGUAUAGUCUUCAACAUCCCAGGAUAAGCUGGCUGAAUACAACUUCAUGAGAGGUCCACAAAUCAAGCAUAGAAAACAAGCGCUGCAAAAUAUUUCACAGCACUUACUCAUUAAGACCAAAAAUUAGUGCCAAAACUAAACAGUUCAAGUGAUUUCUCCAGAUGGAGAAAUCCCCGCAGCCCACCUUGGAUGUGCAGAAAGGAACAAGACAUGAAACAAUGAGUUUACCAAUGGGCUGUUGAACGCCUUUGUAUGAUGUUUUCCCUUUUGGUAUGAAACAGUUUUGCUCAUGUUCGUCUAUUUGGCAGGGGCUUUGAAUAAAACCAGUUAACACA